This 205-nucleotide unclassified non-coding RNA is filed under the name Astragalus thurberi. Lineage: Eukaryota; Viridiplantae; Streptophyta; Magnoliopsida; Fabales; Fabaceae. The record is from RNAcentral.
AUCGUUGCCCGAUGCCUACUGCAGUGCAAUAGGAAUUUCUAGGGCGAAUGAUGCUCCGUGAGCGUUGUUGCCUCGCGGUUGGUUGAAAAUCGAGUCCUUGGUGGGGUGUGCCAUGAUAGAUGGUGGUCGAGUUAGCACAAUACCGAUCGUGUGCAUGCUCCCCAAAAUAUGGCCUCUAUGACCCACACGCGUCUAUUGACGCACA